Molecule: long non-coding RNA, 1028 nt
Filed under: Brassica rapa (field mustard)
Lineage: Eukaryota; Viridiplantae; Streptophyta; Magnoliopsida; Brassicales; Brassicaceae
Description: long non-coding RNA (BRAP_LNC002929)
Source: RNAcentral
UAAAGAAAAAAAAAUAAUAAGUAAAUAUAUAUUAUAAGAAAAUACCCAAUUUAAAAAAUGGAAAAUUACAUUAAGAUUUAAAAAUAUAUCUUAAAAUUUAAAAUAUAGAUAUUACGUAAAUAGAAAGUAUAACAAAUGGAAAUAUACAAUUUAAAAAAAAAAGAGAAAACGUACAUUAAGAUUUAAACAUCUAUAUUAAAAUAUAAAAUAGAGAUAUUAAGUAAAUAAAAAGUACAAGAAAUGGAAAUACAUAUACAGGAAAAUAAAUAAUAAGUAAAUAAUAUAAAUAUAUAAUAUAUGAAUUAUAUAUAUAAUAAUGAGUAAAUACACAAUUUUUUUAAAAAAUGAAAAAGUUCAUUAAGCAUUAAACAUCUAUCUUAAAAUAUAAAAUAUAUGAUAAAAGUAAAUACACAAUUUAAAAAAAAUGGAAAAAGUACAUUAAGAUUUAAAUAUCUAUUUUAAAAUAUAAAAUAUAGAUAUUACGUAAAUAAAAAAUAUAAGAAAUGGAAAUAAACAUUUAAAAAAAUGGAAAAAGUACAUUAAGAUUUAAACAUCGAUCUUAAAAUGUACAUCUAUCUUAAAAUGGUAGUAAAUUAUAUAAAAAUGGAAAUACCACAUUUAACAAAAAAAAAUAAAAAUGUAUAGUUUUACAUCAAGAAAGUCUCUAUAAAACUCAUUAUUCCAUCAACAUCAACCUCACACUAUCAAGGAAAACUUCAAAGCACUCGAGCAAAAAAAUGGUUCCACCAUCAACUCUUGCCGUCCCAAAAACCUUUAAUGACCUUGAAAGAGAUUUUUUAUAACAACGAACUUUUUGUUAGGUGGAUUCAUUGUUGGGAAACCCGCAACUUUCAAAAGCCAAACUUAUUCAUGGGAAUUGAAUUGCUUUUCAUAGACUCAAAUGUAUUCUUACAAAUUUAAAUUAAUCAAAUCCAUAAUUUUAUUGUUAAUAUUCGUACUAACUCUUUCAUGAUCAAACCAUUACAGUUAAUAAUCAUUCAAGCGUUUAUCCCGAAACACUUCAUUCC